UGGCUUAGACGGUAAAGCAUCUGCCUACAAUGCGGGAGACCCAGGUUCGAUCCCUGG
RNAcentral lists this transfer RNA (57 nucleotides) under Ovis aries (sheep). It matches the Rfam family "tRNA", at positions 8 to 63 of the family's 71-position model. From Rfam's summary of the family: Transfer RNA (tRNA) molecules are approximately 80 nucleotides in length. Their secondary structure includes four short double-helical elements and three loops (D, anti-codon, and T loops). Lineage: Eukaryota; Metazoa; Chordata; Mammalia; Artiodactyla; Bovidae. The record is from Rfam by way of RNAcentral.